RNAcentral lists this long non-coding RNA (1689 nucleotides) under Lactuca sativa (garden lettuce). Its description in RNAcentral is "long non-coding RNA (LSAT_LNC005712)". The record is from RNAcentral. Lineage: Eukaryota; Viridiplantae; Streptophyta; Magnoliopsida; Asterales; Asteraceae.
CCGGAGGAUUUUGAUCCGACUACUGUGAUCAAUGAUCCUCUGCCGCCGAUUGCUGAUGAUGCUCCCCGUAUAAACGGUGUAAAAUCGAUUAAUGGGAAAGAGAAACCGAGGGAAAUUAUUCUAGGAAGAAAUGUGCACACUACUUGCCUCGAGGUAACAGAGCCUGAUGCUGAUGAUGAGGUUACCGGAGAAAGAGAAGCUUAUAUGGCCAGCGUGUUGGCCAGAUAUAGAAAAUCCUUGCUCGAAAGGACAAAACAUCAUUUGGGUAACAAUCUUUUUGCCUCUUAUUUAUUCGAACUUUAUGUUUAUGAUCUUGUUCUUUAUUCAAAACCCCAUUUUGGAUACACAAUCGAUGUCAAUUUUGCACCUGAAAAUUGUAUAUUUUUAAUAGGGUAUCCUUAUAAUCUGGACUUCGAUUAUGGUGCGUUGUCUCAGUUACAACAUUUCUCCAUUAACAACCUUGGGGACCCAUUCAUCGAGAGCAAUUAUGGUGUCCAUUCCAGGCAGUUUGAGGUUGGUGUAUUGGACUGGUUUGCUCGUUUAUGGGAGUUGGAAAAGAACGAAUAUUGGGGUUACAUUACAAAUUGUGGAACAGAAGGCAAUCUUCAUGGCAUACUAGUCGGGUAAUUUGUAUGAUUUUAGGCUUUUAUCUCAUUUCUUGGAUUUUUACUAUUUGAAUACUUUAUAUAUCGUGUAAAUGUAACAGGAGAGAAGUGUUUCCUGAUGGGAUUUUGUAUGCUUCUUGCGAAUCACAUUAUUCCAUUUUCAAAGCAGCAAGAAUGUAUCGAAUGGAUUGUGAAAAAGUCAACACACUCCUUUCUGGGGAGAUUGAUUGUGAAGAUUUUAAAGCUAAACUUUCUCUUCACAAGGACAAACCUGCAAUCAUCAACGUGAAUAUAGGUUCUCUCACAAGACUGUUUGAUGUGCAUUGGAUUAUUACCGACAUUGAUGUCAAUGGAACAAAAAAAAGACAUAAAUGCACUUCUAAUCUUUCUCAUAAAAAAUAGUCCUAAAAAGCUUCUCCAUCCUGUUAUUUACAUUUUUUUCAAACGAAUUUACAGGAACAACAGUGAAAGGAGCUGUAGAUGAUCUUGAUCUGGUCAUAAAGACCCUUGAGGAAACCGGAUUCACACAUGACCGAUUUUAUAUCCACUGUGAUGGGGCUUUGUUUGGACUAAUGAUGCCUUUUGUUAAACUUGUAAGUAUACGUGGUCUAUUCAGUUCAUUCAGUCCAAAAAAGAAACAAUCUUUUUGUAUAAGUUUCAUAUAUAAUAUGUAUUUUUUCUUGUAAAAUCAGGCACCAAAGGUAUCUUUCAAGAAACCGAUUGGAUCCGUGAGUGUUUCGGGUCACAAAUUUGUCGGGUGUCCAAUGCCAUGUGGCGUUCAAAUAACACGAUUAGAACACAUUAACGCUCUUUCAAGAAACGUUGAAUAUCUUGCUUCAAGAGAUGCAACAAUCAUGGGAAGUCGAAAUGGACACGCCCCAUUGUUCCUUUGGUAUACUUUAAACCGAAAAGGGUACCGAGGGUUCCAAAAAGAGGUCCAAAAAUGCCUCAGAAAUGCCCACUACUUAAAAGGAAGGCUAACCAGUGCUGGAAUUGGUGCUAUGCUCAAUGAGCUCAGUAGCACAGUGGUCUUUGAACGCCCACAAGAUGAAGAGUUUACACGAAAAUGGCAGCUUGCAUGUCA